UACAGAGGGUGCGAGCGUUAAUCGGAAUUACUGGGCGUAAAGUGUGCGCAGGCGGCAGAGCAAGUCGAGUGUGAAAGCCCCGGGCUUAACUUGGGAAUUGCGCUCGAAACUACUUUGCUGGAGUGUGGCAGAGGAAGGUGGAAUUCCACGUGUAGCGGUGAAAUGCGUAGAGAUGUGGAGGAACACCAAUGGCGAAGGCAGCCUUCUGGGCCAACACUGACGCUCAUGCACGAAAGCGUGGGGAGCAAACAGG
RNAcentral lists this ribosomal RNA (253 nucleotides) under uncultured bacterium. Its description in RNAcentral is "partial 16S ribosomal RNA". It matches the Rfam family "Bacterial small subunit ribosomal RNA", at positions 524 to 776 of the family's 1533-position model. The record is from RNAcentral.